AAGAUUUCUCAAAACUAAGUACUGAGCUGAUAGAACUUUGUAAUUCUAGGGUAGCGAUCCGUCUAAAGUAAUCAUUAAAACUAAAUAGAUAUUUCAAAAGUAGAUCACAAAAACUUCUUAGAAUUUUACACAUGACACCCCUCCCCUCCCCCCCCUCCCCCCUCCCGAAAGUCCCUGAAUCAAGGUUUUCAGUUUGUAAGAAAAUGUGACAUCGUGGAUUUCCCUGAAUCAAGGUUUUCAGUUUGUAAGAAAAUGUGACAUCGUGGAUUUCCCUGAAUCAAGGUUUUCAGUUUGUAAGAAAAUGUGACAUCGUGGAUUUUCUCCCUGUAGUCCUCAGUUUAUCAAUUGGUAGAUUUUCCCCCACAGGGUAUUCAUCUGUUAUGUGUAAAGUUUUUCUAUAGAGGCUGCCCCUCUGUAUCUCUAGCUUUUUUCCCUUGGAGGAAGUAAAAAAGUUCUGGGAGCUCAUGUGGAGCGAUAUUUAUAUUACGAUACAAUGUUUUUAUUAAUUAUUAAUGUUUUUAAUGGUGUACCGACCGCUCUUGAAGUUUAAGUAAAAAGUUUGUAAGUUUUCUAAAGAGAUGUACAGUCCUUCCAAGUAUGAUUUUUGUUGAGUUCCUAAAACUUUACCUUCUCUGUGGCUGCGGCCUAGUACUUUUAGAGACUAAGUGGGGAUUUUUGUCUGAUCAGGUUUGUCAGUGGGUGGUUGGCGGAUGCUCUGUUGUGGUUUACUCUUUCUUUAUUAUCAAACAUCUAUUGUCCUUAUCUGUCUUUUUUUUCUUUGUAUUUUACUCUCUAAAAACACCUCACCUCAUCUUUGAGUUUAACACUUGGGUGACCUUACGAAAACGAAACCAAAAGUAUUGACAUUGUUUUUCACCUGUCCUGUAUGGUUGUGGUGGCUACCCUGGACACUUUCCUCCAGUGGGUUAGCGGAAUAACCUUUGACCUCUGUACUGACAUUUCCAGACAUAGCAACGUAUCUGACAAAAUCAAGGUUUUUUUGGGUUUUUUUUCAUUUUUUCUUUUAUAUUGGUUUGCUUCACACUAGUCUUUCCCCAUAUCCAUUGUGUGUCAAAGGUAGGAGGAAAUAGUGUUUUUUCAAAUUGGUAAAUUUACGCAAGUGACUGAUCUUAGUCUCAUUGUCAAUACAUCAGAGUAACAUUAUAUUCCACCUGGCACACCCCAUGUUUAAAAGCAUACAUAACGUCAAUUGAUAUGUAUUAAAUUUGUUUUUGGGGAGGUUUUUUUGUUUUUUUCUCUCAAAAUAAUAAAACGUGCAGUUAUGUC
Molecule: long non-coding RNA, 1287 nt
Organism: Aplysia californica (California sea hare)
Lineage: Eukaryota; Metazoa; Mollusca; Gastropoda; Aplysiida; Aplysiidae
Exons: 2
Source: RefSeq, a predicted model, not a curated record